Molecule: ribosomal RNA, 406 nt
Filed under: uncultured bacterium
Lineage: Bacteria
Description: partial 16S ribosomal RNA
Rfam family: Bacterial small subunit ribosomal RNA
Source: RNAcentral
AUUGAACGCUGGCGGCAGGCCUAACACAUGCAAGUCGAGCGGAGCGGCGGACGGGUGAGUAAUGCCUAGGAAUCUGCCUGGUACUGGGGGAUAACGUCCGGAAACGGGCGCUAAUACCGCAUACUAUCAGAUGAGCCUAGGUCGGAUUAGCUAGUUGGGGGGUAAAAGGACUACCAAGGCGACGCUCCGUACCUGGUCUGGGAGGAUGAUCAGUCACACUGGAACUGAGACACGGUCCAGACUCAUACGGGAGGCAGCAGUGGGGAAUAUUGCACAAUGGGCGCAAGCCUGAUGCAGCCAUGCCGCGUGUGUGAAGAAGGCCUUCGGGUUGUAAAGCACUUUCAGCGGGGAGGCGUUACCCGCAGAAGAAGCACCGGCUAACUCCGUGCCAGCAGCCGCGGUAAUU